RNAcentral lists this transfer RNA (74 nucleotides) under Listeria cornellensis FSL F6-0969. RNAcentral describes it as "tRNA-Met". It matches the Rfam family "tRNA". From Rfam's summary of the family: Transfer RNA (tRNA) molecules are approximately 80 nucleotides in length. The record is from RNAcentral. Lineage: Bacteria; Bacillati; Bacillota; Bacilli; Caryophanales; Listeriaceae.
GGAUCUGUAGCUCAGUUGGUUAGAGCAGACGGCUCAUAACCGUCCGGUCGUAGGUUCGAGUUCUACCAGAUCCA